CAAAAUGUAGCUUAAUAAAAGCAUUUAGCUUACACCUAAAA
Molecule: transfer RNA, 41 nt
Filed under: Pseudantechinus roryi (Rory Cooper's false Antechinus)
Lineage: Eukaryota; Metazoa; Chordata; Mammalia; Dasyuromorphia; Dasyuridae
Description: partial tRNA-Val
Source: RNAcentral